Molecule: unclassified non-coding RNA, 284 nt
Organism: Capra hircus (goat)
Lineage: Eukaryota; Metazoa; Chordata; Mammalia; Artiodactyla; Bovidae
Rfam family: Metazoan signal recognition particle RNA
About the family: The signal recognition particle (SRP) is a universally conserved ribonucleoprotein. It is involved in the co-translational targeting of proteins to membranes. The eukaryotic SRP consists of a 300-nucleotide 7S RNA and six proteins: SRPs 72, 68, 54, 19, 14, and 9.
Source: Ensembl
UUUUAUGCUAUGUGAAUUUCAUCUCAAUUAACAAACAUUUAAAAAAAAUAUAUCUGUGCUUGAGCCCAGAAGUUCUGAGCUGUAACACAUUAUGCCUAUAUAGUGUCCACACUAAAUUUGGCAUCAAUAUUGUGACCUCGAGAGCAGAGGACCACCUGGUUGCCUAAGGAGGGGUGAGUUGUCCUAGGUCAGAAACAGAGCAGGUCAAAACUCUCCUACUGAUCAGUAGUGGGACUGCGCUUGUGAAUAGCCAUUGCACUCCAGCCUGGGCAAUUUAGCAUGAC